UGAUAGCUGUGAAGCGUGAGGUUGCGGCCGACAGGCCGGUUUUCCGUGGAGCGAAUGUCAGUUAAAAAUGACGACAA
Molecule: non-coding RNA, 77 nt
Filed under: bovine gut metagenome
Description: S10-Clostridia ribosomal protein leader
Rfam family: S10-Clostridia ribosomal protein leader
Source: RNAcentral